RNAcentral lists this non-coding RNA (21 nucleotides) under Arabidopsis thaliana (thale cress). The record is from RNAcentral. Lineage: Eukaryota; Viridiplantae; Streptophyta; Magnoliopsida; Brassicales; Brassicaceae.
UAAGUAUGGAGACGAUGAUGA